RNAcentral lists this transfer RNA (82 nucleotides) under Streptomyces tendae. RNAcentral describes it as "tRNA-Ser". Lineage: Bacteria; Bacillati; Actinomycetota; Actinomycetes; Kitasatosporales; Streptomycetaceae. The record is from RNAcentral.
UGUGCGUUAGCGCGGCAGGCUCGACGCUCUUGAAAACCGUCGUGGCGCAAGCCACCGUGGGUUCAAAUCCCACACCCACCGC